RNAcentral lists this ribosomal RNA (454 nucleotides) under uncultured bacterium. Its description in RNAcentral is "partial 16S ribosomal RNA". It matches the Rfam family "Bacterial small subunit ribosomal RNA", at positions 28 to 507 of the family's 1533-position model. The record is from RNAcentral.
GAUGAACGCUGACAGAAUGCUUAACACAUGCAAGUCAACUUGAACUUCGGUUUGGGUGGCGGACGGGUGAGUAACGCGUAAAGAACUUGCCUCACAGCUAGGGACAACAUUUGGAAACGAAUGCUAAUACCUGAUAUUAUGAUUUUAGGGCAUCCUAGAAUUAUGAAAGCUAUAUGCGCUGUGAGAGAGCUUUGCGUCCCAUUAGCUAGUUGGAGAGGUAACGGCUCACCAAGGCGAUGAUGGGUAGCCGGCCUGAGAGGGUGAACGGCCACAAGGGGACUGAGACACGGCCCUUACUCCUACGGGAGGCAGCAGUGGGGAAUAUUGGACAAUGGACCAAGAGUCUGAUCCAGCAAUUCUGUGUGCACGAUGAAGUUUUUCGGAAUGUAAAGUGCUUUCAGUUGGGAAGAAAAAAAUGACGGUACCAACAGAAGAAGUGACGGCUAAAUACGUG